CAGUCAGGAUGGCCGAGUGGUCUAAGGCGCCAGACUCAAGUUCUGGUCUCCGAAAGGGGGCGUGGGUUCAAAUCCCACUUCUGACAUUAC
RNAcentral lists this transfer RNA (90 nucleotides) under Helianthus annuus (common sunflower). RNAcentral describes it as "tRNA HanXRQr2_Chr02g0047691". It matches the Rfam family "tRNA". Rfam says of the family: Transfer RNA (tRNA) molecules are approximately 80 nucleotides in length. Their secondary structure includes four short double-helical elements and three loops (D, anti-codon, and T loops). Lineage: Eukaryota; Viridiplantae; Streptophyta; Magnoliopsida; Asterales; Asteraceae. The record is from RNAcentral.